UACAUAGUUCACUCUCUCUGUCUGAUAGGAGAAAUAAUAAUUGUAGUUACUUCUUCUCAGCUUGUUAAUUUGUUGGAAAAAAAAAGAGCAGAUAUCUACCGGAAUGGAAUUCUUCCCAAAUGGCUAUGUUGUUCGACUCCGGAACCACCAUAAAAAAUACCUUUUUGCCAAAAACGAUCGAGAGACCGUCGGACAGGACAAACAUGGAUCGUACAACGGAACUCGAUGGACCGUCGAGCUUGUAACCGGCUUCAACUCUGUUAUCCGCCUUAAGAGCUGCCACGGCAAGUAUCUCACCGCCUCAGAUCAGCCAUUAAUUCUGGAAGGUUUGGGUAGAAGUAUGAAAGUUGUACAGACCCUGCCGUCACCCGUUGACUCUACAAUCGAUUGGGAGCCGAUCAGGGUUGGGCAACACAUCAGGCUCAAAAGCCGCCGCCACUCCGUUGAUAGCUUCCUUAGGGGCAGUGGAUCGUUACGGUUUUACUCGGUCAGCCAUUAUCCAGCUCAAGUUGAUACAGAUAAGGAUAGCUUGGACUGGGAUGUUGAGCACCCUCUGGUUUUGGACAAGGGAAUACCAUGGGUAAAUGGCAGACAGGAGUUGGCAUAGUUGGUGCAGCAGCAGGUGCAGUAUAUACGAGUCAUUCUCAUGAUAAUGCAGGAGAUGAGGACGCUGAUGGAGGUGUGGACAUGUGGGAGUUCUAAUAAUAAGAGAUGUUGUUUGGAACAACGGCCAGGCGGCCACCAAUAGUCCCAUUUUAAUGAAUUUAUAGGUUGCGAAGAGGAUGAUAUUGAACCCCUUGUUAAUGCUGGAAUUUAUGGAAGUGUAAAGUCUCAAUUAAGUAGCGUGAAAACCGCAAAGGGUCAGACCUCUAAAGUCAUAUUUGAAAAUAGAAAAUCAUUUUUUCAACUAUUGAUUCA
RNA transcript from Ziziphus jujuba (common jujube), 918 nucleotides. RefSeq lists it as uncharacterized. Lineage: Eukaryota; Viridiplantae; Streptophyta; Magnoliopsida; Rosales; Rhamnaceae. The transcript has 3 exons. The record is from RefSeq and is a predicted model, not a curated record.